Molecule: microRNA precursor, 118 nt
Filed under: Paramuricea clavata
Lineage: Eukaryota; Metazoa; Cnidaria; Anthozoa; Malacalcyonacea; Plexauridae
Source: RNAcentral
CGCAAGCACUCGAUUGAAAAGCAGUGUUGAUAUAUAUAGAUUAUACCUAUAGGUAUAAUCAGAAUAAUAUAUAGGUAUAAUCUAUAUAUAUCAACACUGCUUUUCAAUCGAGUGCUUG